GGAAUUACUAGCCUAAUUUUCAUGUCUUAAUUACUUAUUUAGUUAAUCUACAAAAAACCCCCAACAUUUCUGUGUUACUCUCAUUCCUGGUUUGAUCUCUGUUCUCUCCAAGUGCUUGGAAUGAAAAAAAUGUCACUGAGAUUUCCAUAGCACCGUAUGUUUUACCACAUUAUUGACAGAGGGCAUGAUUGCCGUCAUACGAACGAGCUAGCCAGGGCUCUGGACUUUCUCUCCUGCAUUUUCUCUUCUUUAAGAAAAGUUUUGGUAAUCCAAGAAACAACCUUCAGUGAAAGUGGGGGACUAUCCCCAGCAUUAAGCUGAGGAAGUUGAACAAAGGACAGCUGAACUGAAUGGCAGCGAGUGGGAAAGGCACGAUGCAAAGUUGCACUGCGCGCACGGCCAUGCACAGACUUUUUGCUCCCAGCGUGGAUCUUCUUGACUUCAGACCAUCCUUAUCCUCCAGGGCUGAUUCAUGUGACACAAUUUCUGGUAUUCGGUCUCGCUUUUCUGGAUCCCACGGGGAAGUGGUGGGCAGAAGGACCCUGAUCUCGUUUCCAAAAGCAUUCAAUCAGCAGCAGUCAACGGGGCCACCCGUGUGUUCAAAGUUAAGCAUAUGCUUAAGUCUCUUGCUGAAUUACCCCCCUGAGGACUUCAGUUUGCCUUUAUGCUAUGUUUUCUUGCUCUUCAAAUACGACUGCAUCCCUUCCGGAUAACGUGGCACACGCUUUGAGGAGCAGUUCAGAUUGGAAGGAGGUAGUAACAGGAGGUCUCACCAGGCAAGCAGGUGAGCUGCUGCAGAUGUAUUCUCUUUUUCAUUCUUUUUUUUCUGUCUAGAAAGAUUUGGGUGAAUAAAUUCCACUUCCA
This 864-nucleotide long non-coding RNA is filed under the name Crocodylus porosus (Australian saltwater crocodile). Its description in RNAcentral is "lncRNA (ENSCPRG00005015743.1)". Lineage: Eukaryota; Metazoa; Chordata; Crocodylia; Crocodylidae. The record is from RNAcentral.